AGCAUAUCAAUAAGCGGAGGACAAGAAACCAACCGGGAUUGCCCUAGUAACGGCGAGUGAAGCGGCAACAGCUCAAAUUUGAAAUCUGGCUCUUUUAGAGUCCGAGUUGUAAUUUGCAGAGGGCGCUUUGGCUUUGGCAGCGGUCCAAGUUCCUUGGAACAGGACGUCACAGAGGGUGAGAAUCCCGUACGUGGUCGCUGGCUAUUGCCGUGUAAAGCCCCUUCGACGAGUCGAGUUGUUUGGGAAUGCAGCUCUAAAUGGGAGGUACAUUUCUUCUAAAGCUAAAUAUUGGCCAGAGACCGAUAGCGCACAAGUAGAGUGAUCGAAAGAUGAAAAGCACUUUGGAAAGAGAGUCAAACAGCACGUGAAAUUGUUGAAAGGGAAGCGCUUGCAGCCAGACUUGCUUGCAGUUGCUCAUCCGGGCUUUUGCCCGGUGCACUCUUCUGCAGGCAGGCCAGCAUCAGUUUGGGCGGUAGGAUAAAGGUCUCUGUCACGUACCUCUCUUCGGGGAGGCCUUAUAGGGGAGACGACAUACUACCAGCCUGGACUGAGGUCCGCGCAUCUGCUAGGAUGCUGGCGUAAUGGCUGUAAGCGGCCCGUCUUGAAACACGGACCAAGGAGUCUAACAUCUAUGCGAGUGUUUGGGUGUCAAGCCCGAGCGCGUAAUGAAAGUGAACGGAGGUAGGAACCCGCAAGGGUGCACUAUCGACCGAUCCUGAUGUCUUCGGAAGGAUUUGAGUAAGAGCAUGGCUGUUGGGACCCGAAAGAUGGUGAACUAUGCUUGAAUAGGGUGAAGCCAGAGGAAACUCUGGUGGAGGCUCGCAGCGGUUCUGACGUGCAAAUCGAUCGUCAAAUUUGGGCAUAGGGGCGAAAGACUAAUCGAACUAUCUAGUAGCUGG
RNAcentral lists this ribosomal RNA (899 nucleotides) under Alternaria infectoria. Its description in RNAcentral is "partial large subunit ribosomal RNA". It matches the Rfam family "Eukaryotic large subunit ribosomal RNA", at positions 37 to 954 of the family's 3401-position model. The record is from RNAcentral. Lineage: Eukaryota; Fungi; Ascomycota; Dothideomycetes; Pleosporales; Pleosporaceae.